RNAcentral lists this long non-coding RNA (319 nucleotides) under Penaeus japonicus. RNAcentral describes it as "uncharacterized LOC122254505". Lineage: Eukaryota; Metazoa; Arthropoda; Malacostraca; Decapoda; Penaeidae. The record is from RNAcentral.
GCGAUUGCGAACGAGGACCGGUUCCGACGCUUGCUUGUAUCUGGGUGGACAUGAGGGCCUGGCAGGGUAUAUAUGGUCGGGAGGAGCAGUCUCAGUUUUAGUCACCUACUGAAUCUGUUAUCAUCUCCUCAACGAUGCGGUUCUUGAUGCUGUUGUGCGUGUGCCUGCCGGUGCUUGCAGCGAGCAUGCCUGCGGCGGAGCCGGGAGUCUUCACAACUGCCUUGGGCUUCUUCCUCGGGAAAGUAUUGCUAACGACCGUAGCGGGGAUCGGAGUCGAAGCUUGCAUGACUGGAAAAUCCGGAGGACAAGGUAGAGUACC